UCGAGCGGCGACGGCGGCGACGGUCGAGCUUGCAGGGGCUGGGGGCAGAUCUAGAGGCAGGGGUCGCCGGUGAAGACGAGGAAGGCGGAGCAUGGGCGGAUCCAUGGCAUCCGCAGCUCCUGGGCACAAAGGAGACAGGGAGGCCAGGGAGAGAAGAAGGAAGAAAGGAGGGGUUGUGCGGCGACCUAGCGAGGAGCUCGCCGGAGCUGGGCGAAGGCGGACUGGCGUGGGAGACGGAGGGGUCCGGCGCAGUCCUUGCAGGUGGAGGCAAGCGUCAAAGCAGAGGACGAGAGGAUCCCCGGUCUAAUUGUGGCAUGCACUCAGCUUCCCCCAUCCAUCCCCUCCUACCCAUCCGGCCCUUCCUCGAUGGCCUGCAUGCGAUGAGCCCUUACGCGGGGUAAGAAGGGGGAUCGCGCGAGGUGGAGCACUCCAGCCCCCUCCUAGCCCUACCACGGUGAGGCCUCCUUCCCCUCUCUGCCUGCCUGAGCCAUAGGCUGGCGGCGCUGAGGUCGAUCUGCUCAUGCACACAUUGUUGCUGUGACAUGAUGACAGCCACGACCCACUUUUUCUUCCAGUUCCUUGUUUUUGUGGUGGAUGCAUCCAUGAUUAUUUGUUUCAACUAUUGAUUUUCAGUUUAGUCAAUCAAACCCAUUCUGAUGAUGCUCUUUUACUUGUACAAAUAAACUAUUGUUCACUAAACUGAGCAGCUAGCUACUGGUGUCUCAAAGAUUAAGCGCAGGUUGGUACUUAUGGUUAGGCCUGCCUCAAGUAGAGGAAGAAGAGGAGGCCUGAAAGAGAGAGGCCGCAAGGUAGAAGCCUUUUGAUUAGGAGGAAGUCCAGCAAGUUGGACGAACUGCUGAUAAAGAGAUAAUUCUAUUCUGAAUUUUUAUCUGAAAAGCAAGAUUGGAUCACGGGUGUAUGUUGGCUAUGUCUCUCAUGGUGUGUGGAACCAGUUAUUGGUUAAUUUCAUCUUGUUUGUUGACAUUGAUGGUGUUGUCCAUUGGUUUAACAGAAAAUUGUUGAAGCUAAAGAUGAAGAGGAACUCGUGGAAGAGGAAAAGAAAUGACAUGGUAGAAACUCAUUCACACAUAUCAGGGUCAUAGUGGGAGGAUUGAUCUGCUUGAUUCGCUCCUGAUGGUUGGUGGAUUGUUUCUGGUAGGGCUAAGAGUUCUGUGAAGAUGGCAGGAUGAGCAGCAGCAUGCCGCUGGUAAGACAGGGCGUGUUGGCAUACGCGAAGAAGCCAUGCAUGAAUCUUCAUGGCGGAUGCUUGCUGGCCGUAGUGGCAGCACCAAUUCAAGCUGGGAGGCGGGAAGCUGGAGUAGCAGGAACGAUUGGUCGUCCAUUAGGCAUGAAUGCAACUCCACUAUACUCCCUUUUCUUUCCGUAACCAAUUCUUUGGAGCAGACAUGUGGGUACAGUUACAUAGCCUGAAGAUUGUUUGCUUUUUUUGGUUAGUUUAGAUUUAGAUUUCUCAGAUAUUCACUAUUUGAUCAAUCGAUCCAUGUAGAUCUCA
Long non-coding RNA from Triticum dicoccoides, 1513 nucleotides. RefSeq lists it as uncharacterized. Lineage: Eukaryota; Viridiplantae; Streptophyta; Magnoliopsida; Poales; Poaceae. The transcript has 2 exons. The record is from RefSeq and is a predicted model, not a curated record.